AAGUCGUAACAAGGUCUCCGUUGGUGAACCAGCGGAGGGAUCAUUACCGAGUUCUACACUCAUAACCCUUUGUGAACCAUUAUACCCUGUUGCUUCGGCGGCGCGCCUCCCCGGGGGCGUGCCCGCCGGUACAAUCAGUAUCUCUGUUUGAACCCGACGUUACAUCUGAGUGUUCUAAGCGAACUGUUAAAACUUUCAACAACGGAUCUCUUGGCUCUAGCAUCGAUGAAGAACGCAGCGAAACGCGAUAAGUAGUGUGAAUUGCAGAAUUCAGUGAAUCAUCGAAUCUUUGAACGCACAUUGCGCUCCCUGGUAUCCCGGGGAGCAUGCCUGUCCGAGCGUCGUUUCAACCCUCGAGCCCCCGUGGCCCGGCGUUGGGGCCCUACGUCUGUAGGCCCUGAAAAGCAGUGGCGGUCCCGCGUGGCCCUCUCCUUUGCGUAGUAGCAUUAGCCUCGCAUCGGGAGCCCGUGGGCGCUAGCCUCUAAACCCCCAUCAAGCCCGCUCCGGCGGCACAAGGUUGACCUCGGAUCAGGUAGGACUACCCGCUGAACUUAA
RNAcentral lists this ribosomal RNA (555 nucleotides) under uncultured Hypocreales. RNAcentral's name for it is "eukaryotic LSU rRNA". The stretch from base 191 to 344 matches the Rfam family "5.8S ribosomal RNA". The record is from RNAcentral. Lineage: Eukaryota; Fungi; Ascomycota; Sordariomycetes; Hypocreales.